This 6319-nucleotide long non-coding RNA is filed under the name Sus scrofa (pig). Its description in RNAcentral is "lncRNA (ENSSSCG00065034543.1)". Lineage: Eukaryota; Metazoa; Chordata; Mammalia; Artiodactyla; Suidae. The record is from RNAcentral.
AGGGGAAAUGUUCUGUAUACAGCUGUAGAUUUGGUGUGUCCCUGGCAGGAGGUGUGCUCAGGAUCCUUUUAUGUCACCGUCUUAAACUGGACCCUGUCUCUUUUUGCACAUGUGCUCCUUGGUGCAGAAGGCCCUGUUUGAGGAGGAGGACCACAUCCAGAAGUUGCAGCAGAAGGUGGCCACCCUGGAGAAGGGGAACAAGCAGGUGUGAGAUCCAGUGAAGAAGGUCAAGGAGGUCCCAAGUGCACAAGAACGGCUGCCACCUGGAGCUGCUAAACUGAAAGAGAAGCUGCCAGAUACAUCAAAAAAUACAUCUAGAUGUGGAACAAUUCUCACGGAACACCUACUGCGCGCUGGCAGGUAAAAGGACCAAAGUUGUAGGACAGAGCUCCAUGUACCCAGGUAAGUAUGAAAGAAUAAAAGAAAAGGAAUUGGGACAGAAUCGGCACCCCUGGGAGGGAGUCGUGAAAGAGAAGGGUUACUUGACCCUGGGAACCCCCUUCACCAGCUGUAAAGUCAACUAGGGCAGAAAGGAAGCUUCAAAGGCUCUGAAGAGACGGCAGCAACAGAACUGUGGCAGGCAACACGAGAGCUUAGCACGGAUGGUUUAGGCCACCUCCUUGCACUCCCCGGCCUGAGAUGUGUGUCUGCUGGUGCAUGCAGGGGGCUGGAUGCUGAAACUUGGGCUUCAGUGGACAGACCUGAGGAGAGGGCUGGGUACCGCUGCACAGAGACCUCCGGAAGGGGCUGGACUAUAACCUGAGCUACACCCAAGGGUGUGCACAGGGCAGAGCCUGGGUCUGCCAUAGAAACCCCAUGGUUAAGGCACGUAUGAAGGAAGGGCAGGGCACCACCAAGGCAGCCUCAUUCUCAGCAUGUUCGGCUCUGCCUCUACCAGCCCUGGGAGCCAGUGCACAAAUGCCAGCAGGUUGUACACAGGCAGAUGCAGGGCUGAAAUCUGAGCAGUGUUCCAGUGGCUAUGCCAUCUGAAUUUACACCACCCCUGGCAGCUUCGUAAGCUCAGCACCUACAGGACUUCUGAGCAGAUUAUAUGUUCCUGUGACUGGGGUGAGUCCAGCAUUAAUUAGCAGGUGCAAGCUUUGCCAGUGCACAGAGGUGAGGCCAGGGUCUGGGCUGAUUCUGAAGCUUCCACGGUGGGUUCAAGUACCUGAAUGCACCAGAUCUAUGCCAAUAGAUCUGCACUGGUGGCUUGAUGAACACAGCACUUGAGGGCCACCCAGGCCAAUUGCCUGCAUGCCUGCACAUGAGGGAGGUCCAUGGGCAUUGCCAACAGUGUACUUUGAGUUUGCACAACAGGUGACAUGUGAUACCACUGAGUGUACCUCUUUGUGGACAGCUCCUGAGGAGGAAUACUCAAGUUUUGCUCUUCUCCCAGAAGUGCUCCAGUCCCACCUACCUCACACCACAGCUCAGAAAUGGCUUCUCCUCCAAUAACUGGGGAACAAACAGACUCUGACAACCACAGAGCAAAGAGGCCCUGCACAACAUCCAGAGCAGGCUCUGGUUACCACAACACCAGUCACACACUAUCAAGGGGAUAACAGCCAGCACAGACUGAGGAAAGAUGUGGGAUGCAUCCAUACUAAAAACAGGCAUCACACCAAAAAUAUUAGACUCGUGUAGGCUAUACAGGGAUGCUCCCAUAUAUAAACAUCCCUCCAAGACCACAAAAUAGCUCUUUGUCCUAAACUCAUAGAGUCAGAGAAAUAGAAGUAAAAAGCAGAAGAACCACUCCCAAUGAAAAGAUCAAGAGAAAACCCCUGAAAGAACAAACAGUGAAAAAGACCUCUCCAGUCUACAAGACCCUGAGUUCAGAAAGGCGGUAAUAAAAGUACUAAAUGGAUUAGGAAAGACUGUUGAUAGAAAUACAGGUUAUUGAAAAAAGGAACCAGAAACUGUAAGGAGGAGCCAACUAGAAAACUCAUUUGCUGAAAUAGAAGCUGAGCUAAGUGCAAUGCAUAGCAAACUGAAUAAUGCAGAAGCACAAAUAAGUGAUCUGGAAUUUUGAAUAAUGAAAAUCACCCAAUUGGAACAGUAGAAAAACAAAACAAAACAAAAAAAGAGCAAUAUACCAGACCUAUGGAAUAAUAUAGAAUGUACCAAUCUAUGCAUAAUCGGGAUCCCAGAGGAGAGGAAAGAAAAAAAGAGGAUUGAAAAUAUAUUUGAAGAAAUUAGGGCUUAAAAUUUCCCAACCUAAUAAAGGAAACAUACCCAGGUACAGGAACCAUAGAGAUUCCUAAGCACUACGAACUCAGACAGACAUAACUAAAAUAGCAGCAGUUACAGGCAACAAGAGAAAAAGUUAAUUUCAAGGGAACCCCUCUAAGGCUAUAAGCUGAUUUCUCUACAGGAACAUUGCAGGCCAGAAAGGACAUGCAAGGUAUGUUCAAAGUUCUGAAAGGGAAAAACCUGCUACUGAAGAUACCCUACCUAGCAAGAGAAUCAUUUAGAAUAGAAGGAGAGAGAAAGAAUUUCUCAUGAAAGAACAAAACCAAUACAGCAAUACCAAACCUAUCCCAAAGGAAAUAUUGCAAGUUCUCUAAAUAGAAAACAAGCUAGACAAUAGAGGAAGGAGAAACUCACAGUUGGGAAGUAAACCACUUAAAUAAGCCAGAGGUAAAAAAAUUUUGUGUGUGAAAGUGAUAACUACAAUGAACAAAAAAAUUAAAAUGGGGAGGGGAGUAAGAGAAUGUAGAUUUUUUUUUUAGAAUGUACUUGAGCCUGUAUAACUACCAGUCUAAAGCAAGUAGAUAUAAAAUGGGUUAAUAUACUUAAAAAACAUGGUAACCACACAUCAAAAACAUGCAAUAGAUUCAUGAAAACUAAGAGAAUAUAAGCAUAAUAUGAAAGAAAACCAUCAAACCACAAAAGGAAACAGAACUAAGGAGAAAUACAAAAUCAACUGGAAAACAAGGUUUACAAUGGCAGUGAUUACAUAUAUCAAUAAUCAUGAUAGAUGUCCAUACACUAAAUGCUCCAAUCAAAAGACACCCAGUGCCAGACUGGAUAAUAAAACACAAGCCCACAAGAUGCUGCCUACAAGAGAACCACUUUAGGGCAAAGGACAUACAUAGACUGAAAGUGAAGGAGAUAGAAAAAGAUUUCAUGCAAACAAAUGAUGAAGCGGGGGAUGCAAAACAGACUUUUAAACAAAGGCCCAUGGAAUAUGUAUGCUGUGGUACACGGAAAAACUGGCCAACAGGAGCUUGUUCUACCAGCACAGGGAGCUCUAUCCAAUAUUCUGUGAUGAUCUACAUAAGAAAGAGUGAAAAAGAAUGGGUGUGUGUAUAUGAAUAAAUUAAUCAUUUUGUUGUGCAGCAGAAAUUAUAACAUUGUAAAUCAUGAAGAAAGAUAAAGGACACUAUAUAAUAAAGUGAACAAUACAAGACAAGGAUAUUACAUGCAUUUAUAUAUGUACCCAAUAUAAGAGCACCUAAAUAUAUAAAAUUAACAAAAGGAAUGAAUUGAUGGCAAUACAAUAAUAAGCUUUAAAACCCCACUCACGUCAAUGGACAAAUCUUCUAGAGAGAAAAUCAGUAAGACAACAAAGAUCCUAAAUGAUACAUUAGAUGAGUUACCUAAUUGAUAGUUUCAGGACAUUGUAUCAGAAAAAAUUAACUGGAAUACACAUUCUUUUCAAGCGCACAUGAAACAUUCUCUAGGACUGACCACAUACUAAGACACAAAACUGACCUCAGCAAGUUUAAGAGGAAAGAAAUUACUUCAGGCAUCUUUUCUGACCACAACAGUAUGGAAUUAUAAAUUAACCACAAGAAAAAAGAAAAAAAUUGCAUGGAGAUUUAAACAAUAUGCUACUGAAAGUAAAUAGGUCAAUGACGAAAUCAAACAGUAAAUUUUAAAAAUGCCUUGGGACAAGUGACAAUGAAAAUAUAACCAUACAAACUCUGUGGGAUGCAGAAAAAGCAGUCCUUAGAGGGAAGUUCCUAGUGAUACAGGCCUUCUUUAAAAAGUAAAAAUCACAAACAACCUAACUCACCAUCUAAUAGAAUUAGGAAAAGAAAAACAAUACCUGAAGUCAGCAGAAGGAAGGAAAGCAUGAAGAUGAGAGAGGAAAUAAAGAUUUUUAAAACUUGGGAAAAAAGCAAUAAAACCAAAAGCUUAUGGGCGUUCCCGUUGUGGUGCAGUGGAAAUGAAUCUGACUAGUAUUCUUGAGGAUAUGGGUUCAAUUCCUCCCUCACUCAGUGGGUCAGGAAUCUGGUAUUGCCUUGAGCUACAGGGCAUGGAUUAUAUGUUGCUGUGGCUGUGGUGUAGGCCAGGAGCAAUCCAAACCCUAGCCUGGGAACUUCCAUAUGCUGUGGGUGUGGCCCUAAAAAGAAAAAGGAAAAAAAAAUUAGUUAAUCUGAACAAAUCUACCACUAGAAGUGAAAUAGAAUCUAAUUUUAAACUCCCUGCAAACAAAAGUCCAGGACCAGAAAGCUUCUUUGGGGAAUUCUACCGUGUAUACAAAGAACUUCUUCUAUUGAUCCUUUUCAAACUCUUCCAAAAACUGAAGAAAAAGGAAUACUCCCAAAGUCAUUCUAUGAAGCCACCAUCACCCUGAUACCAAAACCAAAGACACUGCCAAAAAAGAAAAUUAUAGGCUAAUAUCUGAUGAAUAUAGAUACAAGAAAAUCUUAACAAAAUAUUAGCCAACUGCAUCCACCAACAUAUACAAAAGGUUAUACGAAGACUAAGUUGGAUUCAUCCCAGGGUCACAAAGAUAGUUCAACAAAUGCAAAUCAAUCAGUAUGCUACACCGCAUCAACAAAUGAAAAGACAAAAAAACAAAUAAUCAUCUCAAUAGAUGCAGAAAAAGCCUAUGAUAAAAUUCAACAUCCAUUCAUGAUAAAACCUCUUACCAAAGUGGACAUAGAACAUUUCAACAUAAUAAAAACUAUUUAUGGAGCUCCUGUCAUGGCUCUCAGAAAAAUACCAAAAAGGGAAAGUACAAAAUAGUAUCUUUAAAAUUUGCAUUAGGAGUUCCCAUCGUGGCUCAGUGGUUAACGAAUCUGACUAGGAACCAUGAGGUUGCAGGUUCGAUCCCUGGCCUUGCUUAGUGGGUUAAGGAUCCGGUGUUGCCAUGAGCUGUGGUGUAGAUUGCAGAUGCAGCUCAGAUCUGGCAUUGCUGUGGCUCUGGCGUAGGCCAGUGGCUCCAGCUCCAAUUCAACCCCUAGCCUGGGAACCUCCAUAUGCCGCGGGAACGGCCCAAGAAAAUGGCAAAAAAGACAAAAAAAUAAGUAAAUAAAAUGAAAUUUGCAUUAAAAAAUACUUAGGAAUAAACCUGACCAAGGAGGUGAAACUUAUAUCCUGAGGACUAUAAAACAUUAAUAAAGGGAACUGAAGAUGAUUCAAAGAAAUGGAAAGACAUCUUGCUCUUGAAUUGAUAGAGUUAAUAGUGUUUAAAUGACCAUACUGGGGAGUUCCCAUGGUGGCUCAUUGUUAAGGAACCUAAUAUCUAUGAUGAUGUGAGUUUGAUCCCUGGCUUCAUGCAGUGAGUUAAGGAUCUGGCGUUGCUGUGGCUGUGGCGUAGGCCGGCGGCUACAGCUCCAAUUUGACCCCCUAGCCUGGGAACUUCCAUAUGCUGUAGGUGCAGACCUAAAAAGACAAACAUAAGGACUUUACUGGGAUUUCCCACCAUGGUGCAGUGGGUUGAGAAUCUGCAGCAGCUCAGUAACUAUGGAGGUGUGGGUUCCAUCCCUACUUGGCGCAGUGGGUUAAAGCAUCAGGUUUUGUUGCAGCUAUGGCUUAGAUUCGAUCCUGGCCUGGAAACUUCCAUGUCCCACAGGUGUGACCACCCCUCCACAAAAAAGGCCAUGCCACUCAAAGCAAUCUCCAUAUUUAUUGUGAUCCCCAUCAAAUUACCCAUGACAUUUUUUAUAGAACUAGAAAAAAAAUCAUAAAAUUUAUGCAGAACCAUAAAACAAGAAUGGCCAAAGCAAUCUUUAGGAAAAAGAACAAAGCAAGUGGCAUACCCCUCUCUGAGUUAACUACAAAGCUAGAAUAGUUAAAACAGUAUGAUACUGGCACACUGGAGUUCCCAUCAAGGCGCAGUGGUUAACGAAUCCAACUAAGAACCAUGAGAUUGUGGGUUUGAUCCCUGCCCUUGCUCAGUGGGUUAAGGAUCCGGCGUUGCCAUGAACUGUGGUGUAGGUUGCAAACGCGGCUCGGAUCUGGCGUUGCUGUGGCUCUGGCGUAGGCUGGCAGCUACAGCUCCUAUUAGACCCCUAGCCUGGGAACUUCCAUAUGCUGCAGGAGCGGCCCAGGAAAUGGCAAAAAGACAAAAAAAAAGAAAAAANAA